CGACCGUGCAUUUUUACCCACCCUCACCACCCUUUCCGUCCUUCAAAACGAGAUAUCUCAACCCUCCGCUCCAUCUUCCACUUCCCGUGCUAUUCUCGUCGACGAUGAUGCCACCACAUCAGAAAUUGACGACAUCGUGAAUUGCGAAAGAAGCUCCUCACUCAAGCCACUCAAGGUUUUCAUGUAUGAUAUGCCUCCUGAAUUCCAUUUCGAGCUCUUAGAUUGGAAAGCUGAGGUGAAUGGCAGUGUAUGGCCUGAUAUAACAAAACACAUACCAGGUUACCCAGGUGGGUUGA
RNAcentral lists this long non-coding RNA (296 nucleotides) under Linum usitatissimum (flax). Its description in RNAcentral is "long non-coding RNA (LUSI_LNC000897)". The record is from RNAcentral. Lineage: Eukaryota; Viridiplantae; Streptophyta; Magnoliopsida; Malpighiales; Linaceae.